This 445-nucleotide ribosomal RNA is filed under the name uncultured bacterium. Its description in RNAcentral is "SSU rRNA". It matches the Rfam family "Bacterial small subunit ribosomal RNA", at positions 26 to 518 of the family's 1533-position model. The record is from RNAcentral.
AGAGCGAACGCUGGCGGCAGGCCUAAUACAUGCAAGUCGAACGGAUCCUUCGGGAUUAGUGGCGGACGGGUGAGUAACACGUGGGAACGUACCCUUUGGUUCGGAACAACUCAGGGAAACUUGAGCUAAUACCGAAUGUGCCCUUCGGGGAAAAGAUUUAUCGCCAUUGGAGCGGCCCGCGUCUGAUUAGCUAGUUGGUAGGGUAAAGGCCUACCAAGGCUACGAUCAGUAGCUGGUCUGAGAGGAUGAUCAGCCACACUGGGACUGAGACACGGCCCAGACUCCUACGGGAGGCAGCAGUAGGGAAUCUUGCGCAAUGGGCGAAAGCCUGACGCAGCCAUGCCGCGUGAAUGAUGAAGGUCUUAGGAUUGUAAAAUUCUUUCAGCGGGGACAUAAUGACGGUACCCGCAGAAGAAGCCCCGGCUAACUUCGCGCCAGCAGCCGC